Molecule: ribosomal RNA, 252 nt
Filed under: uncultured bacterium
Lineage: Bacteria
Description: partial 16S ribosomal RNA
Rfam family: Bacterial small subunit ribosomal RNA
Source: RNAcentral
UACGUAGGGUGCGAGCGUUAAUCGGAAUUACUGGGCGUAAAGCGUGCGCAGGCGGUUUUGUAAGCCAGGUGUGAAAUCCCCGGGCUCAACCUGGGAAUGGCAUUUGGGACUGCAAGGCUGGAGUGCGGCAGAGGAGACUGGAAUUCCUGGUGUAGCAGUGAAAUGCGUAGAUAUCAGGGGGAACACCGAUGGCGAAGGCAGGUCUCUGGGCUGACACUGACGCUCAUGCACGAAAGCGUGGGAGCAAACAGG